GUGCUCACUUUGGCAGCACCUACACUAAAUUUGGGAUGAUACACAGAAGGCAGGCGUGGCCGCUGUGCAAGGAUGACCCUCAAAAGUUUGCAGCAUUCUGGAAUUUU
RNAcentral lists this small nuclear RNA (107 nucleotides) under Callithrix jacchus (white-tufted-ear marmoset). The record is from RNAcentral. Lineage: Eukaryota; Metazoa; Chordata; Mammalia; Primates; Cebidae.